This 1348-nucleotide ribosomal RNA is filed under the name metagenome. RNAcentral's name for it is "bacterial LSU rRNA". It matches the Rfam family "Bacterial large subunit ribosomal RNA", at positions 1564 to 2925 of the family's 2925-position model. The record is from RNAcentral.
UGAGUGCGAGCUUCUACGGAAGCGAAGUUGGUGACGUCAAGCUUCCAAGAAAAGCCCUAUACCCGUUAAGGCAUGAUUACCUGUACCCGAGACCGACACAGGUGGGGUGGUAGAGAAUACCGAGGGGCGCGAGGUAACUCUCUCUAAGGAACUCGGCAAAAUGACCCCGUAACUUCGGGAGAAGGGGUGCCAGCGCGAGCUGGUCGCAGUGAAUAGGCCCAGGCGACUGUUUACCAAAAACACAGGUCUCCGCUAAGUCGCAAGACGAUGUAUGGGGGCUGACGCCUGCCCAGUGCCGGAAGGUAAAAGGAGUUGGUCAGCGCAAGCGAAGCUAACGACUGAAGCCCCGGUGAACGGCGGCCGUAACGAUAACGGUCCUAAGGUAGCGAAAUUCCUUGUCGGGUAAGUUCCGACCCGCACGAAAGGCGUAACGAUCUGGGCGCUGUCUCGGAGAGAGGCUCGGCGAAAUAGAAUUGUCUGUGAAGAUGCGGACUACGUGCACCCGGACAGAAAGACCCUAUGAAGCUUUACUGUAGCUUGGUAUUGUGCUCGGGCUCGCAAUGCGCAGGAUAGGUGGGAGGCUUUGAUCCAUUGCUUGUGGGUGAUGGUGAGCCACUGGUGAGAUACCACUCUUUGCGAGCUAGGGUUCUAACGGUUACCCGUCAUCCGGGAACCGGACAGUAUCUGGCGGGCAGUUUGACUGGGGCGGUCGCCUCCUAAAAGGUAACGGAGGCGCGCAAAGGUUUGCUCAGGCUGGUUGGAAAUCAGCCGACGAGUGUAAAAGCAGAAGCAAGCUUGACUGUGAGACCUACAAGUCGAACAGGGAGGAAACUCGGCUUUAGUGAUCCGACGGUUCUGAGUGGAAGGGCCGUCGCUCAACGGAUAAAAGUUACUCUAGGAUAACAGGCUGAUCUCCCCCAAGAGUUCACAUCGACGGGGAGGUUUGGCACCUCGAUGUCGGCUCAUCGCAACCUGGGGCUGAAGUCGGUCCCAAGGGUUGGGCUGUUCGCCCAUUAAAGCGGUACGCGAGCUGGGUUCAGAACGUCGUGAGACAGUUCGGUCCAUAUCCGGUGCAUGCGCAGGAAUAUUGAGAGGAUUUCUCCCUAGUACGAGAGGACCGGGAGGAACGCACCUCUGGUGUAUCAGUUAUCGUGCCAACGGUAAACGCUGGGUAGCCAUGUGCGGAGUGGAUAACCACUGAAAGCAUCUAAGUGGGAAGCCCUCCUCAAGAUGAGUAUUCCCAUGGCUUAAGCCAGUAAGGUCACGGGAAGAACACCCGUUGAUAGGCUCUAUGUGGAAGCACAGUAAUGCGUGAAGCAGAGGAGUACUAAUAGACCGAGGGCUUGAC